This 469-nucleotide ribosomal RNA is filed under the name uncultured Acidobacteriota bacterium. RNAcentral describes it as "bacterial SSU rRNA". It matches the Rfam family "Bacterial small subunit ribosomal RNA", at positions 20 to 471 of the family's 1533-position model. The record is from RNAcentral. Lineage: Bacteria; Pseudomonadati; Acidobacteriota.
UGGCUCAGAAUCAACGCUGGCGGCGUGCCUCAGACAUGCAAGUCGAACGCGAAAGUCCCCUUCGGGGGAUGAGUAGAGUGGCGUCCGGGUGAGUAACACGUAGGUAAUCUACCUUUGGGUGGGGAAUAACGCAGGGAAACUUGCGCUAAUACCGCAUAAUGCAGCGGCACCACAUGGUGACAGUUGUUAAAGCGGGGGAUUUUCGAACCUCGCGCCUAAAGAGGAGCCUGCGGCAGAUUAGCUAGUUGGUAGGGUAACGGCUUACCAAGGCAACGAUCUGUAGCCGGCCUGAGAGGGCGGUCGGCCACACUGACACUGACAUACGGGUCAGACUCCUACGGGAGGCAGCAGUCGGGAAUUUUGGGCAAUGGGCGAAAGCCUGACCCAGCAACGCCGCGUGAAGGAUGAAAUCCCUCGGGAUGUAAACUUCGCAAGAAUGGGAAGAAUUANCGAGUAUUAAUACUGCUCG